UUUAAAUUGAGAGUUUGAUCCUGGCUCAGGACGAACGCUGGCGGCGUGCCUAACACAUGCAAGUCGAGCGAUGAAACUUCCUUCGGGAAGUGGAUUAGCGGCGGACGGGUGAGUAACACGUGGGUAACCUGCCUCAAAGAGGGGGAUAGCCUCCCGAAAGGGAGAUUAAUACCGCAUAACAUUAUUUUAUGGCAUCAUAAAAUAAUCAAAGGAGCAAUCCGCUUUGAGAUGGACCCGCGGCGCAUUAGCUAGUUGGUGAGGUAACGGCUCACCAAGGCAACGAUGCGUAGCCGACCUGAGAGGGUGAUCGGCCACAUUGGAACUGAGACACGGUCCAGACUCCUACGGGAGGCAGCAGUGGGGAAUAUUGCGCAAUGGGGGAAACCCUGACGCAGCAACGCCGCGUGAGUGAUGAAGGUUUUCGGAUCGUAAAACUCUGUCUUUAGGGACGAUAAUGACGGUACCUAAGGAGGAAGCCACGGCUAACUACGUGCCAGCAGCCGCGGUAAUACGUAGGUGGCAAGCGUUGUCCGGAUUUACUGGGCGUAAAGAGUAUGUAGG
RNAcentral lists this ribosomal RNA (561 nucleotides) under Clostridium botulinum C/D. RNAcentral's name for it is "bacterial SSU rRNA". It matches the Rfam family "Bacterial small subunit ribosomal RNA", at positions 1 to 575 of the family's 1533-position model. Lineage: Bacteria; Bacillati; Bacillota; Clostridia; Eubacteriales; Clostridiaceae. The record is from RNAcentral.